UCGCUGCUCUCCUAAUCCUUGCAACAGCCCUAUGAGGUCGUUCUAUUUUCCAGAUGAGGGAAGUAGGCCUUAGAGCGGUUUAUUCAUGUGUUUGUUCAGAAAUACCGUGGGGAUACCGAAAGGAGGAGGAUGUAGUACCGCCUCAAGGCCAUUGACAAGAUUAAAAGUCAGUUGGGAUGGUUUAGGAAGGAAAGACCCCAAACAACGGAGAUUUGGGAAGGCUUCCUAAAGGUGGUGGCAUUGGAGCUAGUCCUUGGCCGCCUUUAAAAGUGGGUCAGGUUUGGACGGGCCCCUCACGGGCUAAAGGCUCUGAGAGCAAAGGCCCAGGGGAAGCCCAGGGGUUCCUGUGGGCUACAGGGGUGGGAGGCAAGGCCGGGGGCUGGGCUGUGACAGAGGCCUGAGGCCUGACCGCCUGGCUAAGGAGAGUGGAUCUAAUCUUGAGAAGCAAUUAAGAGCAGCCACGGGAGGUUCUGGGCUGAGGAAUCCCGCUCUCGAAACUCCGCCUCGGGGAGAUAAAUGGGGGGGCAGCUCGAGGAAAGCCUGGAGGAGAGAGACACGGGGGCUGUCAGAGCCGCCCGGGGAGACGCGGAGCCUCCCCAGGCUAACAGGCCAGAGCUCCGGCGCUGGGCUCCCAGACCAGUCCUUUACCACAAGACUCGGCCAGGGACCAAAUGCUUCCUGGAUGCCCCGGAGCCAUCACGGAACAUCAGCUCCCACAUUUCUGAGCUGCUUUCAGCCAAAAUUAUCCCACUAAACGCAGAGACGUGGCCGGCCUGCCAGGCCACAGGCAGGCACUCUUUUUCCAGGGAGCGGACUGUAUACGGGGCGCUGCUUUAAUCUAGAAGAGGGCCUUGUCAUGAGGAGGCCUGGUUCAAUGAAUGCUUAUUGAAAUGAACUUUUCUAGAACCUCUCAGCAAGAGAAUACCCUGGGAGCAAAGAUCCCAUAGGGGUAGAAUGUAAAUCACUGAGAUAGAACGAUUGCUAUGUGAAACCACCUCACUCGCUUGUUUCGUCUCCGUCUCACCUGCUGCGGUCUAACUGCCGUGAACGUGAAGACAUUAGCCACCUUGCUCCACGCUCUUCCCCAGAACCUACGAGAGCAUCAAGUACCGCCAGAUGCAAAGUCGGUCCCCGUGAGUAGUUACGUGAAGGACCACGAACGCCCCAGCAAGAGUUUCCUUGCAGCCCGGAGCCUCAACGUGUCCUGUCUCUUGCCUACUGGCUAUGACCUGCCUUCCUGGGGUCCGUUCACAAGGAAGAGCGUGAAUAAACCAACCUCAUCAGGGUC
Molecule: long non-coding RNA, 1288 nt
Organism: Felis catus (domestic cat)
Lineage: Eukaryota; Metazoa; Chordata; Mammalia; Carnivora; Felidae
Exons: 4
Source: RefSeq, a predicted model, not a curated record